UAUUGAUGAUGAUGACAAAAAAAAAUAAGAUGUCUCCAAACUUACUUGAAAGAAUUUGGAAUUCUAUAAAUAUUCAAAAAAAAGUUGUGAAAAACAAAUUUGAAAAUAGAAUAUUUGAUUUACUGAGAAUCUGAGAUA
Molecule: unclassified non-coding RNA, 138 nt
Filed under: Arabidopsis thaliana (thale cress)
Lineage: Eukaryota; Viridiplantae; Streptophyta; Magnoliopsida; Brassicales; Brassicaceae
Description: small nucleolar RNA R42
Source: RNAcentral